UACGUAGGGUGCGAGCGUUAAUCGGAAUUACUGGGCGUAAAGUGUGCGCAGGCGGCCGAGCAAGUCGAGUGUGAAAGCCCCGGGCUUAACUUGGGAAUUGCGCUCGAAACUACUUUGCUGGAGUGUGGCAGAGGAAGGUGGAAUUCCACGUGUAGCGGUGAAAUGCGUAGAGAUGUGGAGGAACACCAAUGGCGAAGGCAGGGUCCUGGCUGGCACCUGACGCUCAUGUGCGAAAGCCAGGGGAGCGAACGGG
This 253-nucleotide ribosomal RNA is filed under the name uncultured bacterium. RNAcentral's name for it is "partial 16S ribosomal RNA". It matches the Rfam family "Bacterial small subunit ribosomal RNA", at positions 524 to 776 of the family's 1533-position model. The record is from RNAcentral.